This 253-nucleotide ribosomal RNA is filed under the name uncultured bacterium. RNAcentral describes it as "partial 16S ribosomal RNA". It matches the Rfam family "Bacterial small subunit ribosomal RNA", at positions 524 to 776 of the family's 1533-position model. The record is from RNAcentral.
UACGUAGGGCGCAAGCGUUAUCCGGAAUUAUUGGGCGUAAAGAGCUCGUAGGCGGUUUGUCGCGUCUGCCGUGAAAGUCCGGGGCUCAACUCCGGAUCUGCGGUGGGUACGGGCAGGCUCGAGUUCGGUAGGGGAGACUGGAAUUCCUGGUGUAGCGGUGAAAUGCGCAGAUAUCAGGAGGAACACCGAUGGCGAAGGCAGGUCUCUGGGCCGAUACUGACGCUGAGGAGCGAAAGCGUGGGGAGCGAACAGG